GAGUUGAAUCCAGUUCUUUAAGCCUCUGC
This 29-nucleotide non-coding RNA is filed under the name Rattus norvegicus (Norway rat). Lineage: Eukaryota; Metazoa; Chordata; Mammalia; Rodentia; Muridae. The record is from RNAcentral.